GACGAACGCUGGCGGCGUGCUUAACACAUGCAAGUCGAACGGAAAGGCCCUGCUUGCCGGGUUCUCGAGUGGCGAACGGGUGAGUAACACGUGGGUGGUCUGCCCUGCACUUCGGGAUAAGCCUGGGCAACUGGGUCUAAUACCGGAUAGGAGCCAUUUUUAGCGUGAUGGUUGGAAAGUUUUUUUCGGUGUAGGAUGAGCUCGCGGCCUAUCAGCUUGUUGGUGGGGUAAUGGCCUACCAAGGCGGCUACGGGUAGCCGGCCUGAGAGGGUGGACGGCCACAUUGGGACUGAGAUACGGCCCAGACUCCUACGGGAGGCAGCAGUGGGGAAGAUUGCACAAUGGGCGCAAGCCUGAUGCAGCGACGCCGCGUGGGGGAUGACGGCCUUCGGGUUGUAAACUCCUUUCGCUAGGGACGAAGCUUUUUGUGACGGUACCUAGAGAAGAAGCACCGGCUAACUACGUG
RNAcentral lists this ribosomal RNA (466 nucleotides) under uncultured bacterium. RNAcentral describes it as "partial 16S ribosomal RNA". It matches the Rfam family "Bacterial small subunit ribosomal RNA", at positions 28 to 507 of the family's 1533-position model. The record is from RNAcentral.